GGUCUUGACAUCCCGGAGACCCUUAGGAAACUAGGGGUGCUUCCAUCUGGAAGAAUCUGGAGACAGGUGCUGCAUGGCUGUCGUCAGCUCGUGUCGUGAGAUGUGGGUUAAGUCCCGCAACGAGCGCAACCCUUGCCUUUAGUUGCCAGCAGUUCGGCUGGGCACUCUAAAGGGACUGCCGGUGUUAAACCGGAGGAAGGUGGGGAUGACGUCAAGUCCUCAUGGCCUUUAUGACCAGGGCUACACACGUACUACAAUGGCCGAUACAAAGGGCAGCGACACUGCGAGGUGAAGCCAAUCCCGUAAAAUCGGUCUCAGUCCGGAUUGGAGUCUGCAACUCGACUCCAUGAAGUUGGAAUCGCUAGUAAUCGUGGAUCAGCAUGCCACGGUGAAUACGUUCCCGGGCCUU
This 409-nucleotide ribosomal RNA is filed under the name uncultured Desulfobulbus sp. RNAcentral's name for it is "bacterial SSU rRNA". It matches the Rfam family "Bacterial small subunit ribosomal RNA", at positions 977 to 1382 of the family's 1533-position model. The record is from RNAcentral. Lineage: Bacteria; Pseudomonadati; Thermodesulfobacteriota; Desulfobulbia; Desulfobulbales; Desulfobulbaceae.